GUUCAUAAUGUCAUUCUGUCUAGCUGAUUUAAAUUAAAUCAUUCAAGCUAAAGAUGGGCCUUCACUUGUCAUGUAUGGCUUCCAAAAGACUCCCCAAAAGUUCUCACUUAGUUUCUUACGUGGACCCACGAUAUAUCCAAACUGCAAUGGGGAAAAUCGUGCUGUGGAAGUAUGCCAUCUGUAUGCCAUCAACAAAUAGAGUGUUGUUUUAGAUUGUAAGUGCCUCAAAAAGCAUGGACUACAUCUCUGAAUCUCUACC
RNAcentral lists this long non-coding RNA (259 nucleotides) under Monodelphis domestica (gray short-tailed opossum). Its description in RNAcentral is "lncRNA (ENSMODG00000046960.1)". Lineage: Eukaryota; Metazoa; Chordata; Mammalia; Didelphimorphia; Didelphidae. The record is from RNAcentral.